UUGAAGGCGUGGAGACUGAAGUUCUCUAUAUCCACAGAACAGGCGUGGCACAGGCAGCGGCAGUGCAGCUUUUCCGCUGUCCCACCAGUGUGCCUCAUUCCUGGGCUAGGUGCCAUACGGCAGGUGAGGGCUGUUCAGUCUCCAUGCCCUCGAUCUUUGGCUACU
Molecule: non-coding RNA, 165 nt
Organism: Myotis lucifugus (little brown bat)
Lineage: Eukaryota; Metazoa; Chordata; Mammalia; Chiroptera; Vespertilionidae
Source: Rfam